RNAcentral lists this ribosomal RNA (205 nucleotides) under uncultured bacterium. RNAcentral describes it as "partial 16S ribosomal RNA". It matches the Rfam family "Bacterial small subunit ribosomal RNA", at positions 524 to 722 of the family's 1533-position model. The record is from RNAcentral.
UACGAAGGGUGCAAGCGUUACUCGGAAUUACUGGGCGUAAAGCGUGCGUAGGUGGUUUGUUAAGUCUGCUGUGAAAGCCCCCGGGCUCAACCUGGGAAUGGCAGUGGAUACUGGCAAGCUAGAGUGCGGUAGAGGGGGUGUGGAAUUUCCCGGUGUAGCGGGUGAAAAUGCGUAGAGAUCGGGAGGAACACCAGUGGGCGAAAGG